RNAcentral lists this ribosomal RNA (328 nucleotides) under Blackburnia foveolata. RNAcentral describes it as "partial 28S ribosomal RNA". Lineage: Eukaryota; Metazoa; Arthropoda; Insecta; Coleoptera; Carabidae. The record is from RNAcentral.
GAUGGUUCGAUUAGUCUUUCGCCCCUAUACCCAGUUCAUACGAUCGAUUUGCACGUCAGAAUCGCUACGGACCUCCAUCAGGGUUUCCCCUGACUUCAUCCUGACCAGGCAUAGUUCACCAUCUUUCGGGUCCCAGCGUGUACGCUCUUGGUGCGCCGCAACUUGCAAUAAGUAUGCGACGCCCCGGGAAUGCGAGGUAACAUAAAUAACGUUACCCAUCUUCCCUUUAUAAAAUAUAUAAUUUAAAAAAUUAUAUAUAUAUAUAUUUACUUUCAUUACGCCUUUAGGUUUAUUAUAAAUACCCAAUGACUUGCGCACAUGCUAGAUG